AGUGAACGCUGGCGGUAGGCCUAACACAUGCAAGUCGAACGGCAGCACAGUAAGAGCUUGCUCUUACGGGUGGCGAGUGGCGGACGGGUGAGGCAUACAUCGGAAUCUACUUUUUCGUGGGGGAUAACGUAGGGAAACUUACGCUAAUACCGCAUACGACCUACGGGUGAAAGCAGGGGAUCUUCGGACCUUGCGCGAUUGAAUGAGCCGAUGUCGGAUUAGCUAGUUGGCGGGGUAAAGGCCCACCAAGGCGACGAUCCGUAGCUGGUCUGAGAGGAUGAUCAGCCACACUGGAACUGAGACACGGUCCAGACUCCUACGGGAGGCAGCAGUGGGGAAUAUUGGACAAUGGGCGAAAGCCUGAUCCAGCCAUACCGCGUGAGUGAAGAAGGCCUUCGGGUUGUAAAGCCCUUUUGUUGGGAAAGAAAAGCAGCAGGUUAAUACCCCGCUGUUCUGACGGUACCCAAAGAAUAAGCACCGGCUAACUUCGUG
Molecule: ribosomal RNA, 492 nt
Filed under: uncultured bacterium
Lineage: Bacteria
Description: partial 16S ribosomal RNA
Rfam family: Bacterial small subunit ribosomal RNA
Source: RNAcentral